GACGGACACGUACAGAACCUUCCUUUAAGCGGGGGAUAGCCCAUAGAAAUGUGGAUUAAUACCCCAUAGUAAUAUUGACUGGCAUCAGUUGGUAUUUAAAGAUUUAUCACUUAAAGAUGGCUGUGCGGCUGAUUAGGUAGUUGGUGCGGGUAACGGCCCACCAAGCCUUCGAUCAGUAACUGGUGUGAGAGCACGACCAGUCACACGGGCACUGAGACACGGGCCCG
RNAcentral lists this ribosomal RNA (227 nucleotides) under uncultured bacterium. Its description in RNAcentral is "partial 16S ribosomal RNA". It matches the Rfam family "Bacterial small subunit ribosomal RNA", at positions 108 to 334 of the family's 1533-position model. The record is from RNAcentral.